This 315-nucleotide long non-coding RNA is filed under the name Bos taurus (domestic cattle). RNAcentral describes it as "long non-coding RNA NONBTAT010833". Lineage: Eukaryota; Metazoa; Chordata; Mammalia; Artiodactyla; Bovidae. The record is from RNAcentral.
UGAAGGGAGCUUUCAAGACUUAGGACAUUGACUGGGCUCCUUUACUUAAGAAUCAGCUGAGUAAAUUCUUGAAGUAUACUUCAAGAUAAGUAUGAAGGGGUUUCAAGCUGUUAAAGUAUACCUAAUAACCAUUAUCAAGGCUAAUCCUAGGUAAGUAACACUUAGCCCUAUUGGGAAUGGCUUAAGGGCUGUACCUGUUCCUCUGUAGAUCAAGAUAGAAAUCCUAUUUUAAAAAUUAUUGACAUAGUAAUGGAAUGUUAGCAUUAAUUGAGUGCUUUAGGUGCUGUCUGCAAAUUUUUCAGUUUUGUUGUUUGA